Pantherophis guttatus is the source of this 1712-nucleotide non-coding RNA. The record is from RefSeq and is a predicted model, not a curated record. Lineage: Eukaryota; Metazoa; Chordata; Lepidosauria; Squamata; Colubridae.
GAGGAAAUGAUAUCCAUGAAUCAACUUAAGGCAACAAAGUGAUGCUGAUGUAAUAGACAAUAAAAUGAUUAUUAGGUGUUAGGUAUUUUCAUAGAGAGAGCUGGCAGCCUGAAUCGAAAGACCUUAUGCAGGUCUCCUGUCUUUUCCUCCUCAGUAAAUUAUUUUGUGGGAAAUAAAAGAGACAGAGCACAAGAGAAUGCAAAGGAAAUCAAUUGUGUCUGGAUCUCUCCUUCCACCCUGUACAAUUUUAUAAACAAUGUGCACUAUUGCACAGUAAACAUUUCCUAUGAAAGACUUCUAAUCUCAAUUUCACAAUGAAGUUCAGGGUACAAACAUGAACUUGUCACAGUAUCUCUUUUUAGGUACAUCACAGAAAUGUGAAGAAGAAAAAAUUAGAUAAAGUGAAAUGAAAUAAAAUUGUGAAAACAGAAUGCAGUAAUCUGCCCAUAAUCUUACUAUAUUUAUAUGAAAGAAAUAAGUCACUUCUCUUGCUUAUUUAUCUUUAAAAUGAGAAGGUGAUCUUAGGUUCACUGAGAAUAAAGGAAUGAAGGAAGGGAAGAUUUGAUCUAACUUUUGUAUGUGGAAGGAUCAGGAUGUCUUCAACUCUGAGCCAGUUUCCUUUCAGGUAUGGAGUAUGAAUGCAGAUUUGAUCUGUGACAUCUGAAGUCCAGUGAAUGGAGGUGAAGAGAAUCGAAAUGUUAUUAUAUUACUAAAUUAGUUGGCUGACAACAAAGUAUACUAUCAAUAUAUUUUUGAGUCUGAGCUACCCUUCAUGUAGGAAUAGAGCAGAGAGUAGCUUCAAGAAGGCUAACAUUGGGAAAAAAUCUGCCCUACGUGGACUACUAGGUACCAAUUUUUCAACAGUCCUCUAACACCCAUUCUUGAAGAACAAGGAGUAUUAUCAUUAAUUAUUCAGUAUCUUCCCCUAUUGAGCUAGCUAUGCAUUAUAGUUCAUUCUCCCAGAAGUAGAGCACCAUUAAGAGGAAAUAAGAGCAUACAAUGUUUGUAGAAACCUGAGUCAUUUUGAAUAAUAAGAUAUACAGAGUUUCUGCCACAGCAGAUUUUACAAUAUUGAACAAAAAUAAACUACACGAAUUAGGGAUAACAAUAUUUAGAUUCAUACUAAAUAGAUGUUGACUCAGAAAAAAUUAAUAUAAAUCUCAAUUUAUCCCAUCCAUGGUUAGAAGUAAUUACAGUGUAGCGCAUUUCCAUACCACCAGCAUUUUCCAUUCCCAAAUAAAUGUUUUCUGGAACUGAUUUGCAAAUGACUUCACUUAUGAUGAUCUUAAAACAAAGAGCCAAGCAUCUUCACUCUUUUCGCCUUCAGCUGAUCAACAGGAGUAUAUGAAGAACAUCUAGGGUCCCACCAACAUCUGCAAUCAUGCAUAGACACACGUAUACAUAUCCUCCCUUACAAGGACAGAUAAAAGAAAAAUAUUCAAUGCUCCAAUUCUAUGUCCCAUAAAAAAGAAAUGCUGUUUAGAUAUGUACUUGUGGGUUUUCAGGACAAGAUCACUCAAAUAAAAAAGAAGCAGUACUUCGCUCACAUGGUUGCAACUGCCACCUUGACUUAUUUUGACAACUCCGACCACCUCUGAUGUCCCUGUUGGUUUUGACAAUUUGCAAAAUGAAAACCAAAAAGUGGGAGGUUGAUAGGAAACUAUGUAAAGGAAGGUCAAUUGUAAAUAUGCAAAUAAAAGUGCUUAAAGGAU